RNAcentral lists this ribosomal RNA (253 nucleotides) under uncultured bacterium. Its description in RNAcentral is "partial 16S ribosomal RNA". It matches the Rfam family "Bacterial small subunit ribosomal RNA", at positions 524 to 776 of the family's 1533-position model. The record is from RNAcentral.
UACAGAGGGGGCAAGCGUUGUUCGGAAUUACUGGGCGUAAAGGGCGCGUAGGCGGCCUUCUAAGUCAGACGUGAAAUCCCUCGGCUUAACCGGGGAACUGCGUCUGAUACUGGAUGGCUUGAGAUUGGGAGAGGGAUGCGGAAUUCCAGGUGUAGCGGUGAAAUGCGUAGAUAUCUGGAGGAACACCGGUGGCGAAGGCGGCGUUCUGGACUGCAACUGACACUGAGGAACGAAAGCCAGGGGAGCAAACGGG